UCUACAGAGUGAAUUCCAGGACAGCCAGGGAUAUUACACAGAGAAACCCUGUCUUGAAAAACAAAACAACAACAACAACAACAAUAAAGUGGAUAGCUUCUGAGAGUUGACAUUUGCACCUGACCUCUGACCUCUAUAUACCUCCUGGCUAGUGGCAUGUGGAAUGCACUCUGUAGCUAUGAAAUGGUCCCACCAAUACCACCAUUACUGCUCCAUCGGAAUCAAAUCCUUCAUACCCACCAGGGUUGUGUGCCCUCUUUUCUGCCUGAUGUCAUUCUGGGACAUAGCUGGGACACCCUGAUGUCAUAAGGUGGAAGAUGAAAAGUGGAUUCCUGAGUUCUUCCAGAUUGCUAGUUGCUAAGCUAUAAAGUUCCAGGUUCUGAAGCCUUGCUGCUCAUUGGUGGAGAGUUCCUGGGCUGUUCCAAUCAGGAGGCUGCAGAGAAAGGCAUUCA
Molecule: long non-coding RNA, 452 nt
Organism: Mastomys coucha (southern multimammate mouse)
Lineage: Eukaryota; Metazoa; Chordata; Mammalia; Rodentia; Muridae
Exons: 3
Source: RefSeq, a predicted model, not a curated record